UACGUAGGGGGCAAGCGUUGUCCGGAAUCAUUGGGCGUAAAGCGCGUGUAGGCGGCCAGAAAAGCCCGCUGUGAAAACUCGAGGCUCAACUUCGAGCUGUCGGUGGAAACUUUCUGGCUAGAGUCCGGAAGAGGAGAAUGGAAUUCCUGGUGUAGCGGUGAAAUGCGCAGAUAUCAGGAAGAACACCCGUGGCGAAGGCGGUUCUCUGGGACGGUACUGACGCUGAGACGCGAAAGCGUGGGGAGCGAACAGG
This 253-nucleotide ribosomal RNA is filed under the name uncultured bacterium. RNAcentral's name for it is "partial 16S ribosomal RNA". It matches the Rfam family "Bacterial small subunit ribosomal RNA", at positions 524 to 776 of the family's 1533-position model. The record is from RNAcentral.